CAGAGAUCAUGCCCCUCGCGGGUAGACCUCCCACCCUGUGUUAUUUACGAUUGUUGCUUUGGCAGGUCGCCUUCGGGCACUCGGCUCCGGCUGAGGUGCGCCUGCCAGAGGACCCCAACUCUGUGUUUAGUGUCGUCUGAGUACUAUUUUAAUACGUUA
This 159-nucleotide unclassified non-coding RNA is filed under the name uncultured Helotiales. RNAcentral's name for it is "sequence contains ITS1". Lineage: Eukaryota; Fungi; Ascomycota; Leotiomycetes; Helotiales. The record is from RNAcentral.